Molecule: ribosomal RNA, 469 nt
Filed under: uncultured bacterium
Lineage: Bacteria
Description: bacterial SSU rRNA
Rfam family: Bacterial small subunit ribosomal RNA
Source: RNAcentral
GAUGAACGCUAGCGGCAGGCCUAAUACAUGCAAGUCGAACGGUGUCUUCGGACAUAGUGGCGCACGGGUGCGUAACACGUAUGCAACCUACCUUACAUUGGGGGAUAGCCUUUCGAAAGGGAGAUUAAUACCGCAUAAGACAGUAGCUGGGCAUCCAGUAGCUGUUAAAGAUUUAUCGAUGUAAGCUGGGCAUGCGUCCAAUUAGCUAGUUGGUGAGGUAACGGCUCACCAAGGCAAUGAUUGGUAGGGGAACUGAGAGGUCAAUCCCCCACACUGGCACUGAGAUACGGGCCAGACUCCUACGGGAGGCAGCAGUAGGGAAUAUUGGGCAAUGGACGCAAGUCUGACCCAGCCAUGCCGCGUGCAGGAUGAAGGCGUUAUGCGUUGUAAACUGCUUUUAUACAGGAAGAAACGACUCUUGCGAGAGGCAUUGACGGUACUGUAUGAAUAAGCACCGGCUAACUCCGUG